CAAUACCGCGUUCGAUUUCAUUCUAUCAAUUGGAGAUGAGCGGUAAUGAUAAUUUGAAAGUGAAACAGGAAGUAGAAGUGAAAUUGCGGAUCUAUUUCCCCCUGUUCGUGCUCGAAUCAUGCUCGAAUACAACUUCCAUUUGAGUCAGCUUGGCGAAAACUGCGGAAAUUCUCUUUCAUAGCCCAUUAGAGUUGAAGUUCUUCAGAAAAACACGCCAUUUGACAAUAUCCCGUAUGGUUUCAGUCUUCCGUCAUCAAAGUCAACUUCAUCUCCAACCUCUCAAAUGUCACACAGCAAGGAUAUCACAAAGUGAGAAGUCCAGAGAUCGUCACAUGAAAGCAACAUAGGUCAAGCUUGAGAUUAUGCCUGGCCAAAUGUAAUGCUCGGAAGUUGUGGCAUAUCACGAUAUCAUUUGCAUCCAUCAUCUUCUUCAACAUUGCCAGCAGCUUGAGAUGGCUUCAAUUCAUUUCAAAAGAGGCCCAACCCAAAAGGGCCUCACCUGGAGGAGCUCCUCCCGAAUGAAGCAAGCCAUGCCGUUGACGACGUCCAUUAUGAAAGUAGACUACCAUACCACAGCGUAGCAAGAGAUUCCAAAGUUAACAACUUGAAUCGUAGAAUUCCGCCGAUUGAAACUGGAUAAGGUUGUCAAUGGUGAACAGACUGGGAAAAGGCGGAACCAUUUCGGCAUGCAGAACUUGAGGAGCUCCCAAAACUUGGAUGACAACGCCAACCACGAAAGUCGGAAUGUGCUCUGAAAUGUUGACUUUAAUUUAUGACAAUGAAAUAAAUCAUGGCGGGGAUUGGCAGGAAUGAGAUUGCUUGAACAUGAAGCCAUUAAGUGGAUGAUGGAAUGAAUAAUUUCGGUGCGUUUGGACUCUGGAAACAAGUCAAUUGAACUUGGCCAGCGAGCGUUCCAUUGAUCGAAUUCGUGCUCACGAAUUUGUCACGUUUGAACAUGAUAUGUACCAACAAUCAUGCAACCGGGAGAGGAAUUGAUUAUCAACCAUCGUUGACUCCUGGGAUGGUUGGUUGGACGAAGGGAUGACGGGAUGAAGGGAGGGAAGGAGUUCUUUGUCUAGGAGCGGUUCGCACCUUGGAAAAAUAUUGAUUAUUAUUCAACUAGCAGGCCAUCAAAAAUUAUAUGAAAAAAAAAAACGUAAAGAGUCGAGAAGAACUCCACCUCAGGACGGCAUGACAUUUUGUUUCUUUUUUUUCUAGGGUUGAGCCAAGAUUUACACACAUUCAUUGGUUUGGUUUUGAAGAAUACGUCGUGUAAUAUAUUGCGCCAAUAGAUCUGCAUUUACAGUCGCAUUCUUUCAAUCAGAGCAUUCAAGAGGCAACCUUUAACGGUUUCCACAUUACAAAGUGUCCUUCAUGCCAUCGAAAACAGCCCACUCCGUUCAACGGAUAUCAGAUUCCAAUACAUAUCCUGCCACAUUUCAAACUGGUUGUUUUAUGAGGCUAUAAGCAAAGCAACGCUUUUAUUCAGUUCGGCAAUGCAUUUGAUUGGCUGCUUGGCAGAAGGCAAAUGUACUAGAACAGAAGACAGCCCAUCAAUAUUGCAGCCUCAACGUUUUCCUAAUACGGCUCGGAUACCGUAGAUUUGACUUUCCUUGAGUCAAUGUCAAUACGCUGUACUACAAAUGGAUUGCAAUUUGCUCUCAUUUCAAUCCUUUGGCGAAUUGACGCGUAGGUCGACGAAAUGGAAGCGGGCAAAAUUCCAAGAUAUAUGAUGGUGAUGGUGAUUCUCCUAUAAGACAAGUUCA
This is a long non-coding RNA of Tigriopus californicus, 1766 nucleotides long. RefSeq lists it as uncharacterized. The transcript has 4 exons. Lineage: Eukaryota; Metazoa; Arthropoda; Copepoda; Harpacticoida; Harpacticidae. The record is from RefSeq and is a predicted model, not a curated record.